Solanum tuberosum (potato) is the source of this 1132-nucleotide long non-coding RNA. RefSeq lists it as uncharacterized. Lineage: Eukaryota; Viridiplantae; Streptophyta; Magnoliopsida; Solanales; Solanaceae. The transcript is spliced from 6 exons. The record is from RefSeq and is a predicted model, not a curated record.
GAAAAAAAAGGUGAGCAAUGAGCUUAUUGUUUAUCUUCAUCUUCAUGGAAGCCUCGCAAUGCCAGGCCUUUGUAUUUACUUCAAGGAGAAAUCAUAGAAUUGCAAACAUGAGAUGGAGGAAUCGAGUAUAGGAACUUCGUAUUCACAAAAAUAUACUGAAUUUCUUCGUUUUCACAUGGAUUUUACUUGGUAUCUUUCAACCAAGCACCAACUGAUGGAAUCUCAUCACAUGUCACUUUUCAACCACCGGAUGAAAUCAUGUUGGUGAAUCUUAUUUUGCAGAUCGACAGUGAAAUCAUUGAAGAUUGAGCCUAAGUUCAAUGGAUGAAUAGUUUCCUCUGCAUCAAACGUGCAUAAUCAAAUCACAGACCAGCACUUGCUCAUGUCUCAGAGUGGAUUACAGAGUAAGCAAAUUGCUACCUUAUCAUGAAGGAGAUAUAGCAGGAUGAAACUUACUGCAUAUUUGAGGAACAUCUGGAACAACAAGUCCUGAAAAAACACAAAAUUAUCUACAACCAUGAGACAUGACAAUUCAGAAUGAUGUACAAAUUAGGGUAGGUCAAUGGUAUGAAAUAAGACUUCAUUAUCAGCACCAUAUUGGAAAUGCCACAAAAAAUAUUAGGAAAACUCAACCAAUGCAGAUCUGUUUCCAGGAAUACACUCAUUGGAAAGGAAAACUAGCCUCAGAGCCUUUAUGAUGACAUUGAAGCGCCCAUUAAGUGAGGCGGAGCACUCAACAUGUUUUGCGCCUCGCAUCAGCACUUAAGUGCGCCUUUGACAACACAGGUCAGAAGCACAAAAAAACCGCUCCACUGCAGAGGAGAAUUAUAAAGUUUUACUAUAUCAAUGUCAGUGCAAAGACCAUAUCUUCAAGAGUUCACAUCAAAGAUUUCAGACAUAAACCAUAAAUUAUUAUAUAUGCUGGUAGAUUGGCAAUUAAAUGUUCCUUGCAUCUUUCUGUUUUAUUUAUUGAUUGAUUAUUAAAUGUAGCAAGCAAUUAUAAUCGUAAUCAUGUAAGAACUUCAACGGUUGUUUAUAUUAACAUGCUUGCGAGUCUUCAUGGUGGAAUGAUGAAGCGAAACCAGAAAUGUAUCUCUAUUUAUCAAAGUCUUGGAAGAUGAUUUUCAUGCAA